GAAUAUUGGACAAUGGGCGGGAGCCUGAUCCAGCCAUGCCGCGUGCAGGAAGACGGUCCUAUGGAUUGUAAACUGCUUUUAUACGGGAAGAAACACCCCCUCGUGAGGGGGCUUGACGGUACCGUAAGAAUAAGGAACGGCCAACUCCGUGCCAGCCGCCGCGGUAAUACGGAGGAUCCAAGCGUUAUCCGGAAUCAUUGGGUUUAAAGGGUCCGUAGGUGGAUGAUUAAGUCAGAGGUGAAAUCCUGCAGCUCAACUGUAGAAUUGCCUUUGAUACUGGUUAUCUUGAGUUAUUAUGAAGUAGUUAGAAUAUGUAGUGUAGCGGUGAAAUGCAUAGAUAUUACAUAGAAUACCAAUUGCGAAGGCAGAUUACUAAUAAUGGACUGACACUGAUGGACGAAAGCGUGGGGAGCGAACAGG
This 420-nucleotide ribosomal RNA is filed under the name uncultured bacterium. RNAcentral describes it as "bacterial SSU rRNA". It matches the Rfam family "Bacterial small subunit ribosomal RNA", at positions 359 to 776 of the family's 1533-position model. The record is from RNAcentral.